This 301-nucleotide ribosomal RNA is filed under the name uncultured bacterium. RNAcentral describes it as "partial 16S ribosomal RNA". It matches the Rfam family "Bacterial small subunit ribosomal RNA", at positions 509 to 807 of the family's 1533-position model. The record is from RNAcentral.
CAGUCGCCACGGUAAAACGGAGGGGGCUAGCGUUGUUCGGAAUUACUGGGCGUAAAGCGCACGUAGGCGGCUUGGUAAGUUAGAGGUGAAAGCCUGGAGCUCAACUCCAGAAUUGCCUUUAAGACUGCCGAGCUAGCAGGUGAGAGGGGUAAGUGGAAUUCCGAGUGUAGAGGUGAAAUUCGUAGAUAUUCGGAAGAACACCAGUGGCGAAGGCGGCUUACUGGCUCAUACUGGACGCUGAGGUGCGAAAGCGUGGGGAGCAAACAGGAUUAGAUACCCGUGUAGUCCCUGUCUCUUAUAC